Hippocampus comes (tiger tail seahorse) is the source of this 849-nucleotide long non-coding RNA. RefSeq lists it as uncharacterized. The transcript has 2 exons. The record is from RefSeq and is a predicted model, not a curated record. Lineage: Eukaryota; Metazoa; Chordata; Actinopteri; Syngnathiformes; Syngnathidae.
GUAUUCCACGCCCAAAAAAUACGAAUCUCAAAGUACCACCAUCAUGACGAACAUUAAAAUAGAGCAGUGCAGAAGGUUUACUGUACAGAGUCGUUCCAAAGCCACUCUUGCAGAUCAACAUGAAACAACACAUCUUUCCGCAAUUUGAGUUGAUCUUGUGCGCAUGAGUUGGUCUCGUGUUGGUGCAGGUUUUGAAAAUUUCUGGACUCUUCCAAAUUUUAAUUUUGUAUCAUGGAAAAACUGAUGGAAAAACUGGCUUUUCAUGUGCGUGAGAAAGUUUUAAUUUUUCAAGUUUUUUUUUUUUUGAAGUGUGUGGGAUGGGUGAAGAGUUCUGAUGCAUGCGAGUAUUUUUGGGUGUGUGAGUGAAUUUAUAUGGAGGUGAGAUCGAUUUCAGGUGAAUGUAAUAAAUCUUUGGAUUUGUUAUGUUUUUUUUCUUUGUGUAUGUUUUUCUGGCAAGAGUUUAUUUGCAGUCCAUGAGGGAUUAUUUGGUGAAUGCGAGAUUUUUGAAGAGAGUGUAAUUUUUAGGGUCAAUGAUAAGAUAAGAUAAGAUAACCUUUAUUUGUCCCACACUGGGGAAAUUUGCAGUAUACAACAGCAAAAUUGGGGAGGGGGGGGGGGGAAUAAAGUGUUUCAGUGCACAAAAUAAAGCGUGUUCUGUGCAAGUGAAAGAUUUUCUGGGUGCAUGUUCGAGGUGUGAGAGGGCUCUUACUGCAAAGGAUAAGACAUAUCAAAAACGGAGUCACAAGUAGAUGAUAUUUUAAAGAGCUGUAUUUAAUCAGAAGGAAAAGCAGAGACAACUUAAUUUGCUUUUAAUUGAAAAUACAAAGGACUAUGUAAAUUCAGCUAUGU